This 462-nucleotide ribosomal RNA is filed under the name uncultured bacterium. RNAcentral's name for it is "partial 16S ribosomal RNA". It matches the Rfam family "Bacterial small subunit ribosomal RNA", at positions 28 to 507 of the family's 1533-position model. The record is from RNAcentral.
GACGAACGCUGGCGGCGUGCUUAACACAUGCAAGUCGAGCGACGCUCUUCCUUCGGGGAGCUGACGGAGCGGCGAACGGGUGAGUAACACGUGGGCAACCUGCCCCUAGCUCUGGGACAACACCGGGAAACCGGUGCUAAUACCGGAUACGACAUCGAGCGGCAUCUCUCGAUGUGGAAAGUUUUUUCGGCUAGGGAUGGGCCCGCGGCCUAUCAGCUUGUUGGUGGGGUAAUGGCCCACCAAGGCGACGACGGGUAGCCGGCCUGAGAGGGCGACCGGCCACACUGGGACUGAGACACGGCCCAGACUCCUACGGGAGGCAGCAGUGGGGAAUAUUGCGCAAUGGGCGAAAGCCUGACGCAGCGACGCCGCGUGAGGGAUGACGGCCUUCGGGUUGUAAACCUCUUUCAGCAGGGACGAAUUCAGACGGUGCCUGCAGAAGAAGCACCGGCCAACUACGUG